Molecule: long non-coding RNA, 678 nt
Organism: Camelus dromedarius (Arabian camel)
Lineage: Eukaryota; Metazoa; Chordata; Mammalia; Artiodactyla; Camelidae
Exons: 4
Source: RefSeq, a predicted model, not a curated record
CGCUCCACCGCACUCAGCCAGAUAUCGCCAGCCACGCGGCCUGGCGGGGCGGGCCACCCGGGAAAGCCCCUGGGGACCCUUCUGCUUCGCGAAUUCGUUUCCCGCCGCGUCGGAAUGCUGCCUUCGCGCGGAAACCCGCUUCCUGGCGUUUCCCGCCGCUUGGCCCAGGUGGCGGCCCUAGGCCUACAGACCGCGGGGCAUGCUGGGAUCGUCCUCUCAGGCCCGCUGCGCUCUCAUCGGACUCUGGGCCACGGACGUGUUGGUGCCGCCGCUCAGAGGGCCGCUCGCCAGAGCUGGACGUUUCCGUUUGUGGACCUUCCGUAUUAGGCCACUCUCUACCUGUCCACUGUCCUGGAGUCCAAGGGCAGGGAGUACAUCUGUGGGGUCAGUGCUCUCAGGCUUCCAAAUAAGUUUGGCCAGUGGAGAGGAAGCACAGAGAGGAAACUGCAGAAUGGGAACAGAAUGAGCAUGGCCACCUCAGAGCAGUCAGGCUGCUUACAUGAUGGUUGAAGACUUCAACCAGUGAGCAAAGGAAUUGUUUUGGCAGUUCUAUAGAUCCUCUACAUUUCUACAUAAAGUUUAAAAUCAGAUUGGGAUUUUGAUUGGGAUUGCAUCAAAUCUAUAUAUCAAACUUCAGGAGAAGGGACAUCUUAAACAUAUUGGAUCUUCUGAUGCAUG